RNAcentral lists this ribosomal RNA (253 nucleotides) under uncultured bacterium. Its description in RNAcentral is "partial 16S ribosomal RNA". It matches the Rfam family "Bacterial small subunit ribosomal RNA", at positions 524 to 776 of the family's 1533-position model. The record is from RNAcentral.
UACGAAGGGGGCUAGCGUUGUUCGGAAUCACUGGGCGUAAAGCGCACGUAGGCGGUUGUGUCAGUCAGGGGUGAAAUCCCGGGGCUCAACCUCGGAACUGCCUUUGAUACAGCACGUCUCGAGUCCGGAAGAGGUGGGUGGAAUUCCUAGUGUAGAGGUGAAAUUCGUAGAUAUUAGGAAGAACACCGGUGGCGAAGGCGGCUCACUGGCCCGGUACUGACGCUGAGGUGCGAAAGCGUGGGGAGCAAACAGG